AGUUCAUCAUGCGGACAACUUUGUUUUAUAUCCUUAAAUCUCUCCCAAGCUUCGUACAAAGACUCCCCAUGAUAUUGAAAGAAAUCUAUAAUCUCCUUGGUAAGCCU
Mercurialis annua (annual mercury) is the source of this 107-nucleotide small nucleolar RNA. The record is from RefSeq and is a predicted model, not a curated record. NCBI's taxonomy places the organism in Eukaryota, Viridiplantae, Streptophyta, Magnoliopsida, Malpighiales, Euphorbiaceae.